CCUACGGGUGACAGCAGUGAGGAAUAUUGGGCAAUGGGCGCGAGCCUGAACCAGCCAAGCAGCGUGAAGGAUGACUGCUCUCGGGUUUGUAAAUUUUUUUUUUAAAGGAGUAACGUGAGACAGGUGCUCCUUUUUGUAUGUACUUUAUCAACAUGCAUCGGCUAACUCCGUGCCAGCAGCCGCGGUAAUACGGAGGAUCCGAGCGUUAUCCGGAUUUAUUGGGUUGAAAGGGAGCGUAGAUGGGUUGUUAAGUCAGUUGUGAAAGUUUGCGGCUCAACCGUAAAAUUGCAAUUGAUACUGGCAGUCUUGAGUACAGUUGAGGUAGGCGGAAUUCGUGGUGUAGCGGUGAAAUGCUUAGAUAUCACGAAGAACUCCGAUUGCGAAGGCAGCUUACUAAACUGCCACUGACAUUGAUGCUCGAAAGUGUGGGUAUCAAACAGGAUUAGAUACCCUAGUAGUC
RNAcentral lists this ribosomal RNA (460 nucleotides) under uncultured bacterium. Its description in RNAcentral is "partial 16S ribosomal RNA". It matches the Rfam family "Bacterial small subunit ribosomal RNA", at positions 338 to 795 of the family's 1533-position model. The record is from RNAcentral.